GGGGUUGUAGCUCACUGGUAGAGUACUUGCCUGACAUGCAUAAGGUCUUGGGUUCAAUACCUAGCACCA
RNAcentral lists this transfer RNA (69 nucleotides) under Urocitellus parryii (Arctic ground squirrel). RNAcentral's name for it is "Spermophilus parryii (Arctic ground squirrel) tRNA". It matches the Rfam family "tRNA". From Rfam's summary of the family: Transfer RNA (tRNA) molecules are approximately 80 nucleotides in length. Lineage: Eukaryota; Metazoa; Chordata; Mammalia; Rodentia; Sciuridae. The record is from Rfam by way of RNAcentral. RNAcentral also lists the same sequence under 1 other name.